This 468-nucleotide ribosomal RNA is filed under the name uncultured bacterium. RNAcentral describes it as "partial 16S ribosomal RNA". It matches the Rfam family "Bacterial small subunit ribosomal RNA", at positions 28 to 507 of the family's 1533-position model. The record is from RNAcentral.
GACGAACGCUGGCGGCGUGCUUAACACAUGCAAGUCGAACGGAAAGGCCCUGCUUUUGUGGGGUGCUCGAGUGGCGAACGGGUGAGUAACACGUGAGUAACCUGCCCUUGACUUUGGGAUAACUUCAGGAAACUGGGGCUAAUACCGGAUAGGAGCUCCUGCUGCAUGGUGGGGGUUGGAAAGUUUCGGCGGUUGGGGAUGGACUCGCGGCUUAUCAGCUUGUUGGUGGGGUAGUGGCUUACCAAGGCUUUGACGGGUAGCCGGCCUGAGAGGGUGACCGGCCACAUUGAGACUGAGAUACGGCCCAGACUCCUACGGGAGGCAGCAGUGGGGAAUAUUGCACAAUGGGCGGAAGCCUGAUGCAGCAACGCCGCGUGCGGGAUGACGGCCUUCUGGUUGUAAACCGCUUUCGCCUGUGACGAAGCGUGAGUGACGGUAAUGGGUAAAGAAGCACCGGCUAACUACGUG